GGGUAGUUUGACUGGGGCGGUCUCCUCCCAAAGAGUAACGGAGGAGCACGAAGGUUAGCUAAUCCUGGUCGGACAUCAGGAGGUUAGUGCAAUGGCAUAAGCUAGCUUGACUGCGAGCGUGACGGCGCGAGCAGGUGCGAAAGCAGGUCAUAGUGAUCCGGUGGUUCUGAAUGGAAGGGCCAUCGCUCAACGGAUAAAAGGUACUCCGGGGAUAACAGGCUGAUACCGCCCAAGAGUUCAUAUCGACGGCGGUGUUUGGCACCUCGAUGUCGGCUCAUCACAUCCUGGGGCUGAAGUAGGUCCCAAGGGUAUGGCUGUUCGCCAUUUAAAGUGGUACGCGAGCUGGGUUUAGAACGUCGUGAGACAGUUCGGUCCCUAUCUGCCGUGGGCGCUGGAGAAUUGAGGGGGGCUGCUCCUAGUACGAGAGGACCGGAGUGGACGCAUCACUGGUGUUCGGGUUGUCAUGCCAAUGGCACUGCCCGGUAGCUAAAUGCGGAAGAGAUAAGUGCUGAAAGCAUCUAA
This 522-nucleotide ribosomal RNA is filed under the name Klebsiella variicola. RNAcentral's name for it is "partial 23S ribosomal RNA". It matches the Rfam family "Bacterial large subunit ribosomal RNA", at positions 2263 to 2784 of the family's 2925-position model. The record is from RNAcentral. Lineage: Bacteria; Pseudomonadati; Pseudomonadota; Gammaproteobacteria; Enterobacterales; Enterobacteriaceae.